This 267-nucleotide long non-coding RNA is filed under the name Mytilus galloprovincialis (Mediterranean mussel). The record is from RNAcentral. Lineage: Eukaryota; Metazoa; Mollusca; Bivalvia; Mytilida; Mytilidae.
UCACAUUGCGAUAAGACGUGUCACGGUACUUGUGUGUCCCAAAUUCAUGUAUUUGGUUUUGAUGUUAUAUUUGUUAUUCUCGUGGGAUUUUGUCUGAUGCUUGGUCCGUUUCUGUGUGUGUUACAUUUUAGUGUUGUGUCGUUGUUCUCCUCUUAUAUUUAAUGCGUUUCCCUCGAUUUUAGUUUGUUACCCCGAUUUUGUUUUUUGUCCAUGGAUUUAUGAGUUUUGAACAGCGGUAUACUACUGUUGCCUUUAUUUGAUAUGUUU